RNAcentral lists this ribosomal RNA (452 nucleotides) under Clostridioides difficile. RNAcentral's name for it is "partial 23S ribosomal RNA". It matches the Rfam family "Bacterial large subunit ribosomal RNA", at positions 1 to 454 of the family's 2925-position model. The record is from RNAcentral. Lineage: Bacteria; Bacillati; Bacillota; Clostridia; Peptostreptococcales; Peptostreptococcaceae.
UGGUCAAGUUAUUAAGGGUGCAGGGCGGAUGCCUUGGCACUAGGAGCCGAUGAAGGACGUGAUAAGCUGCGAUAAGCUUCGGGGAGUUGCACGUAAACUUUGAUCCGAAGAUUUCCGAAUGAGGAAACUCACUUAGAGUAAUGUCUAAGUAUCAUUAAGUGAAUACAUAGCUUAAUGAGGGGAACUCAGGGAACUGAAACAUCUAAGUACCUGAAGGAAGAGAAAGAAAUUCGAUUCCGUAAGUAGCGGCGAGCGAACGCGGAUUAGCCCAAACCAAUAAAGUUUUCUUUAUUGGGGUUGCGGACAUAUCAUAACGAAGAGGUAUCGUAAUUGAAGAGGUUUGGAAAGAUCCACCACAGAAGGUAAUAGUCCUGUAUGUUAAACGAGAAGACUUUAGAUAUGAUCCAGAGUACCACGGGACACGUGAAACCCUGUGGGAAGCAGGAGGGACC